UAAUACGUAGGGUGCGAGCGUUAAUCGGAAUUACUGGGCGUAAAGCGUGCGCAGGCGGUUUUGUAAGCCAGAUGUGAAAUCCCCGGGCUUAACCUGGGAAUGGCAUUUGGGACUGCAAGGCUGGAGUAUGGCAGAGGGGACUGGAAUUCCUGGUGUAGCAGUGAAAUGCGUAGAUAUCAGGAGGAAUACCGAUGGCGAAGGCAGGUCCCUGGGCUGAUACUGACGCUCAUGCACGAAAGCGUGGGGAGCAAACAGGAUUAGAUACCCUGGUAGUCCACGCCCUAAACUAUGUCAACUGGUUGUUGGGGGUUUGACACUCUCAGUAACGAAGCUAACGCGUGAAGUUGACCGCCUGGGGAGUACGGCCGCAAGGUUAAAACUUAAAUGAAUUGACGG
RNAcentral lists this ribosomal RNA (396 nucleotides) under uncultured bacterium. RNAcentral's name for it is "bacterial SSU rRNA". It matches the Rfam family "Bacterial small subunit ribosomal RNA", at positions 521 to 916 of the family's 1533-position model. The record is from RNAcentral.